This 240-nucleotide unclassified non-coding RNA is filed under the name soil metagenome. Its description in RNAcentral is "partial contains 5.8S ribosomal RNA, internal transcribed spacer 2, and large subunit ribosomal RNA". The record is from RNAcentral.
AACAUCGCGCACCUGCGGGAACCUGCGGAAGGAUCAUUACAGAGUUGCAAAACUCCCCAAACCAUUGUGAACCUUACCUUCAAACGUUGCUUCGGCGGGCGGGCCACAGCGCCCCCCGGGCCCCCCCAGCGGGGGCGCCCGCCGGAGGAUACCCAAACUCUUGAUACUUUAUGGCCUCUCUGAGUCUUCUGUACUGAAUAAGUCAAAACUUUCAGCAACGGAUCUCAGAUCGGAAGAGCA